RNAcentral lists this long non-coding RNA (1227 nucleotides) under Bos grunniens (domestic yak). RNAcentral's name for it is "lncRNA (ENSBGRG00000003030.1)". The record is from RNAcentral. Lineage: Eukaryota; Metazoa; Chordata; Mammalia; Artiodactyla; Bovidae.
UGUUGGCAAAGUAAUGUCUCUGCUUUUGAAUAUGCUAUCUAGAUUGGUCAUAACUUUCCUUCCAAGGAGUAAGCGUCUUUUAAUUUCAUGGCUACAGUCACCAUCUGUAGUGAUUUUGGAGCCCAGAAAAUAAAGUCUGACACUGUUUCCACUGUUUCCAUCUAUUUCCCAUGAAGUGAUGGGACCGGAUGCCAUGAUCUUCGUUUUCUGAAUGUUGAGCUUUAAGCCAACUUUUCACUCUCCACUUUCACUUUCAUCAAGAGGCUUUUGAGUUCCUCUUCACUUUCUGCCAUAAGGGUGGUGUCAUCUGCAUAUCUGAGGUUAUUGAUAUUUCUCCUGGCAAUCUUGAUUCCAGUUUGUGUUUUUUCCAGUCCAGCGUUUCUCAUGAUGUACUCUGCAUAUAAGUUAAAUAAACAGGGUGACAAUAUACAGCCUUGACGAACUCCUUUUCCUAUUUGGAACCAGUCUGUUGUUCCAUGUCCAGUUCUAACUGUUGCUUCCUGACCUGCAUAGGCAUAGCAAUAUCUUUAAGCUCUUUAUAGAACUAAAGUGAAAAAGUGAAGUCGCUCAGUCGUGUCCAACUCUUUGUGACCCCAUGGCCUGUAGCUUACUAGGCUUCUAGGUCCAUGGGAUUUUCCAGGCAAGAAUACUGGAGUGGGUUACCAUUUCCUUCUCCAGGAGAUCUUCCCGACCCAGGGAUUGAACCCAGGUCUCCCACAUUGUAGGCAGAUGCUUUACCGUUUGAGCCACCAGGGAAGUCCUAUAGAACUAAACCCCCAACAAAUGCGAGAUGUCAGCAGUUCUUCAUUCUAGAGAAGACCAUCUGAAAUCAGAUUAAAGGAACCAGAGAAGCUCAUCAAGAGAUUACUUGAGAGCAGAUUAAAGGAGUGCAGGCCCUGCACACACCCUGAUCCUUAUCAGCAAGCCCACUCUUGAACUAUUGCUAUAAAACUCUUCACCAAAUCCUCCCAGGUUUGGACUGUUUUCAAGGGCAGGAGCCUGCCAUGUCUCCCUUUGCCUGGAAAAGCAAUAAAGCUCUUCUUUUCUAAUUCACCCCAACUCUGUCUCCAAGAUUUGAUUUGGCACCAGUGCACAGAGGCUGAGUUUUCGGCAUCAGAAGACACAACUUGGAUACUUCCACACCUUGGGAUGAUAGUGAUAUUGGUGUGUCAUUCUGAAUAUUACUGCACACAUCCCAGGAAUCCAGACCUCAGCCCACCAACUUGU